Molecule: non-coding RNA, 716 nt
Organism: Sus scrofa (pig)
Lineage: Eukaryota; Metazoa; Chordata; Mammalia; Artiodactyla; Suidae
Source: RefSeq, a predicted model, not a curated record
AAUGAUGGAGGGGGAGACACUCUUCUCUCACAAAAGCCCACCUUCUUCCGUGCUGGAGGCUUCCAGUGUGGAGAGAGGGAGCAGGGAAGGGACAGUGGUGUCUCCCGAGGUGACGAUGCCACCUGCACUCCAGGUGGAGCUCAUUUUCUCUGAGACAUAGGUGGAGGUGCUUAAGGGAUUUGGGCCCAAACAAUUCCAGAAAGAAGCCUUUGAGAGAUGUUGUGACGCCAGGCCUGCAGCCCUCUGACCGCUUUCCCCAGAGCCCAGAGCCCCUCGGCUUCCUGCCUCCGUGGUCCUUGACAAUCCUGCCCCCUCCCAUCUUAUGCACCUUCUGUGGUCGCAACGCUGGAGGCGAGAAAGAGCUGAGGUUGCAAAACACGGCCGAACGAAAGGAAAAGAAGUGAAAAGAAAAUGAAUGUUCAAGGUACCGGAGAUCCCAGUUGGAGCUGGCUUGACUGAGACCUGUGUUCAGGAGGGAGGCUGCUCGGAGGAUUGAAGCACACCGAGUUUGGGGGAAAAAUGGAACCUGAAUGUCUUCGUGUGGAACCUGCUGUCUCCAGUUUAUCCCCAGGUCCCACCUUCGGGCUUAAAAAGGGGCUGCUUUCUACAUUUAUAUGACCUACUCAGCUUAAGAUUUUGUUUCCUUAAUUUUUUUUUUUUAGUAUGAAAAAUUCCAGAAUACAGAAGUAAAGAGAAUGGUACAAUAAAUCCCAUAU